UAGUUUGAUCAUGGCUCAGAACGAACGCUGGCGGCAGGCUUAACACAUGCAAGUCGAGCGCCCCGCAAGGGGAGCGGCAGACGGGUGAGUAACGCGUGGGAAUCUACCCAUCUCUACGGAAUAACGCAUGGAAACGUGUGCUAAUACCGUAUACGUCCUUCGGGAGAAAGAUUUAUCGGAGAUGGAUGAGCCCGCGUUGGAUUAGCUAGUUGGUGGGGUAAAGGCCUACCAAGGCGACGAUCCAUAGCUGGUCUGAGAGGAUGAUCAGCCACACUGGGACUGAGACACGGCCCAGACUCCUACGGGAGGCAGCAGUGGGGAAUAUUGGACAAUGGGCGCAAGCCUGAUCCAGCCAUGCCGCGUGAGUGAUGAAGGCCCUAGGGUUGUAAAGCUCUUUCACCGGUGAAGAUAAUGACGGUAACCGAGAAGAG
Molecule: ribosomal RNA, 431 nt
Filed under: Phyllobacteriaceae bacterium BAS222i
Lineage: Bacteria; Pseudomonadati; Pseudomonadota; Alphaproteobacteria; Hyphomicrobiales; Phyllobacteriaceae
Description: bacterial SSU rRNA
Rfam family: Bacterial small subunit ribosomal RNA
Source: RNAcentral